GACAGAGGGUGCAAACGUUGUUCGGAAUUACUGGGCGUAAAGCGAGUGUAGGCGGUCUGCUAAGUCGGGUGUGAAAGCCCUGGGCUCAACCCAGGAAGUGCACUCGAAACUGGCAGGCUAGAGUACUGGAGAGGUUGGUGGAAUUCUCGGUGUAGAGGUGAAAUUCGUAGAUAUCGAGAGGAACACCGGUGGCGAAGGCGGCCAACUGGACAGAUACUGACGCUGAGGUGCGAAAGCGUGGGGAGCAAACAGG
Molecule: ribosomal RNA, 253 nt
Filed under: uncultured bacterium
Lineage: Bacteria
Description: partial 16S ribosomal RNA
Rfam family: Bacterial small subunit ribosomal RNA
Source: RNAcentral